This 720-nucleotide ribosomal RNA is filed under the name Peribacillus simplex. RNAcentral's name for it is "bacterial SSU rRNA". It matches the Rfam family "Bacterial small subunit ribosomal RNA", at positions 74 to 779 of the family's 1533-position model. Lineage: Bacteria; Bacillati; Bacillota; Bacilli; Caryophanales; Bacillaceae. The record is from RNAcentral.
GGGAGCUUGCUCCCUGAGAUUAGCGGCGGACGGGUGAGUAACACGUGGGCAACCUGCCUAUAAGACUGGGAUAACUUCGGGAAACCGGAGCUAAUACCGGAUACGUUCUUUUCUCGCAUGAGAGAAGAUGGAAAGACGGUUUACGCUGUCACUUAUAGAUGGGCCCGCGGCGCAUUAGCUAGUUGGUGAGGUAAUGGCUCACCAAGGCGACGAUGCGUAGCCGACCUGAGAGGGUGAUCGGCCACACUGGGACUGAGACACGGCCCAGACUCCUACGGGAGGCAGCAGUAGGGAAUCUUCCGCAAUGGACGAAAGUCUGACGGAGCAACGCCGCGUGAACGAAGAAGGCCUUCGGGUCGUAAAGUUCUGUUGUUAGGGAAGAACAAGUACCAGAGUAACUGCUGGUACCUUGACGGUACCUAACCAGAAAGCCACGGCUAACUACGUGCCAGCAGCCGCGGUAAUACGUAGGUGGCAAGCGUUGUCCGGAAUUAUUGGGCGUAAAGCGCGCGCAGGUGGUUCCUUAAGUCUGAUGUGAAAGCCCACGGCUCAACCGUGGAGGGUCAUUGGAAACUGGGGAACUUGAGUGCAGAAGAGGAAAGUGGAAUUCCAAGUGUAGCGGUGAAAUGCGUAGAGAUUUGGAGGAACACCAGUGGCGAAGGCGACUUUCUGGUCUGUAACUGACACUGAGGCGCGAAAGCGUGGGGAGCAAACAGGAUU